UAAUUAAUUCGAUGCAACGCGCAAAACCUUACCUACCCUUGACAUGUUCGGAAUCCUGAUGAGAUGCGGCAGUCUGGGAAAGAGAACCGGCACACAGGUGCUGCUUGGCUGCCGUCAGUCUCGUGUCGUGGGAUGUUGUAGUUAAGUCCAGCAGAAGAGCCCAACCCUUGUCCUUAGCUGCUACGGGAAAGAGCACUCUAAGGAGACUGCCGGUGACAAACCGGAGGAAGGUGGGGAUGACGUCAAGUCCUCAUGGCCCUUAUGGCUGUGGGCUUCACCCCGUCAUACAAUGGUGCGGUACAGAGGGUUGCCAACCCGCGAGGGGGAGCUAAUCCCAGAAAACCGAUCGUAGUCCGGAUUGCACUCUGCAACUCGAGUGCAUGAAGUUGGAAUCGCUAGUAAUCGCGGGAUCAGC
This 415-nucleotide ribosomal RNA is filed under the name uncultured bacterium. RNAcentral's name for it is "bacterial SSU rRNA". It matches the Rfam family "Bacterial small subunit ribosomal RNA", at positions 944 to 1353 of the family's 1533-position model. The record is from RNAcentral.